This 22-nucleotide microRNA is filed under the name Lepisosteus oculatus (spotted gar). Its description in RNAcentral is "Loc-Mir-181-P2c_3p (mature (co-guide))". Lineage: Eukaryota; Metazoa; Chordata; Actinopteri; Semionotiformes; Lepisosteidae. The record is from RNAcentral.
ACCCGCUGAGCGAUGAGUGAAA